GUAUAAAGAACAAUGCAUAGUGUGAAAAUGCGGAUUAUAAAAAAGUAUAUUAAAGAAAAGGACUACAUUUCCCAGAAUGCACCUGCACCCACUCAUCUGACUGCCCCCACCCUUCAGGUGCGACUGCUCAACCUAUGGGCUUGACGGAAAAUUCAAAUCGCGAACCGUUACUGCCUGGACUACUCCGUCUCUUGUUUGUUUGCUCAUUAACAGUAAGAGGUCAUGUACACUGUGGUCAACUUUGUGGACGAUGAAGAGGUUUCUGAAGAAAUAUAAUGAAGUAACAGUGAAAGCUAAAACAUCAGACUGAUCCAGACACUGAAGAAAUUGAUGUCACUGCAAUCUGGCCAAAAUGAUACAACUAUAUUGAAGUAGCCUACUGUAAUGAAGCUGCAGAACAACACAGAGACUCUGAGGACAUCAACACAGAAAAUGAAGGCUCCAAAGAGAUGUCUGUCCAGAUGAGGGUGCAUCAAUGUUACGUUUGCUGACAAAUAUAUGCUUUACAAUGUAAAACCUAACAGUUAACUUAACUCAAACCAUUUAAGGAAAUCGGUUGCCUUAACCCA
This is a long non-coding RNA of Paramisgurnus dabryanus, 569 nucleotides long. RefSeq lists it as uncharacterized. The record is from RefSeq and is a predicted model, not a curated record. Lineage: Eukaryota; Metazoa; Chordata; Actinopteri; Cypriniformes; Cobitidae.